AACGAACGCUGGCGGCGCGCCUAAUACAUGCAAGUCGAGCGAGAAGACGUAGCAAUACGUUUGUAAAGCGGCGAACGGGUGAGGAAUACAUGGGUAACCUACCCUCGAGUGGGGAAUAACUAGCCGAAAGGUUAGCUAAUACCGCGUACGCUCCUUGGACUUCGGUUCAGGGAGGAAAGCGAUACCGUGGGUAUCGCGCUCUUGGAUGGGCUCAUGUCCUAUCAGCUUGUUGGUGAGGUAACGGCUCACCAAGGCUUCGACGGGUAGCUGGUCUGAGAGGACGAUCAGCCACACUGGCACUGCGACACGGGCCAGACUCCUACGGGAGGCAGCAGUAAGGAAUAUUGCGCAAUGGGCGAAAGCCUGACGCAGCGACGCCGCGUGGGGAUGAAGG
This 394-nucleotide ribosomal RNA is filed under the name uncultured bacterium. RNAcentral's name for it is "bacterial SSU rRNA". It matches the Rfam family "Bacterial small subunit ribosomal RNA", at positions 29 to 414 of the family's 1533-position model. The record is from RNAcentral.